GAUGCGAAUCUCGAAAGCCUGUCUCAGUUCGGAUUGGAGGCUGAAACCCGCCUCCAUGAAGUUGGAUUCGCUAGUAAUCGCGCAUCAGCCAUGGCGCGGUGAAUACGUUCCCGGGCCCUUGUACACACCGCCCGUCAAGCCAUGGGAGCCGGGGGUGCCUGAAGUUCGUGACCGCAAGGAGCGACCUAGGGCAAAACUGGUGACUGGGGCUAAGUCGUAACAAGGUAAC
Molecule: ribosomal RNA, 229 nt
Filed under: uncultured bacterium
Lineage: Bacteria
Description: partial 16S ribosomal RNA
Rfam family: Bacterial small subunit ribosomal RNA
Source: RNAcentral